GCACAUUUAAUGGGCUGCUGCACGUGUGAUGUCAUAAUGCUCUGAGUCUUUGUGAUGUCAUAAUGGAAAAAAUGUCACAGUGAUGUAAUAAUGGAAAAAGUCAAGCUGUACUGCUGCAGCCCCGAGAUUCCUCAUUCUUGAUCAGGCGACUGAGAGAGAAUAUUUUGUGAUCAGAAAACAACAGAACAAUCAGAAAACAACAAAACUACAAAACAAUUAUCAGAGAACAACAAAACAU
Long non-coding RNA from Xenopus laevis (African clawed frog), 238 nucleotides. RefSeq lists it as uncharacterized. The transcript is spliced from 3 exons. Lineage: Eukaryota; Metazoa; Chordata; Amphibia; Anura; Pipidae. The record is from RefSeq and is a predicted model, not a curated record.